GAUGAAGAACGUAGCGAAAUGCGAUACGUAAUGUGAAUUGCAGAAUUCAGUGAAUCAUCGAAUCUUUGAACGCACAUUGCGCCCGCCAGCACUCUGGCGGGCAUGCCUGUUCGAGCGUCAUUUCAACCAUCAAGCCCCAGGCUUGCGUUGGAGCCCUGCGGCUGCCGCAGCCUCCUAAAAGCAGUGGCGGGCUCGCUAUCACACCGAGUGCAGUAGAUUACUCUUCGCUCAGGGCGUGCAGCGGGUUCCGGCCGUGAACCCCCCUACUUUUAAAGGUUGACCUCGGAUCAGGUAGGAAUACCCGCUGAACUUAAGCAUAUCAAUAAGCGGAGGA
Molecule: unclassified non-coding RNA, 334 nt
Filed under: soil metagenome
Description: partial contains 5.8S ribosomal RNA, internal transcribed spacer 2, and large subunit ribosomal RNA
Rfam family: 5.8S ribosomal RNA (bases 1-120)
Source: RNAcentral